UUGACCUCGGAUCAGGUAGGAGUACCCGCUGAACUUAAGCAUA
Molecule: ribosomal RNA, 43 nt
Filed under: Coccidioides posadasii
Lineage: Eukaryota; Fungi; Ascomycota; Eurotiomycetes; Onygenales; Onygenaceae
Description: partial 28S ribosomal RNA
Source: RNAcentral